AUUGAACGCUGGCGGCAUGGCUAAAACAUGCAAGUCGAACGCGAAAGUGGGCUUCGGCCCGCGAGUAGAGUGGCGAAAGGGCGAGUAAUGCGUUUCUAACGUACCCCGAGGCCAGGGACAGCUCACCGAAAGGUGAAUUGAUACCUGAUGACCCCGCGGAAUCUCAGGGUUCUGCGGGCAAAGGCUUGCUACCUCGGGAUCGGGAAACGUGCUAUCAGGUUGUUGGUGAGGUAACGGCUUACCAAGCCUUUGACGGCUAGCGGGUGUGAGAGCACGACCCGCCGCAUCGGGACUGAGACACUGCCCGG
Molecule: ribosomal RNA, 308 nt
Filed under: uncultured bacterium
Lineage: Bacteria
Description: bacterial SSU rRNA
Rfam family: Bacterial small subunit ribosomal RNA
Source: RNAcentral